This 540-nucleotide ribosomal RNA is filed under the name Symbiodinium sp. ex Cliona varians forma rigida. RNAcentral describes it as "partial 23S ribosomal RNA". It matches the Rfam family "Bacterial large subunit ribosomal RNA", at positions 1932 to 2622 of the family's 2925-position model. The record is from RNAcentral. Lineage: Eukaryota; Dinophyceae; Suessiales; Symbiodiniaceae.
GGCUGUAACUAUAACGGCCCUAAGGUAGCAAAUUUCCUUGUCGUCUUAAUAACGACCUGCAUGAAACAUAGAACGAUUCGAUAGCCUCUUGCACACACAUCAUGGUAAAAUAUUCAUCAGUACAAAUAAUAUGCUGCCUCAGUAAGCAUCUAACUAAAGGACAAAAAGACCCUUUGAAGCUUUAUAGGGAUAAAACUUUAAUUGGGGCGAUAACCUUAUAUAAUCCACCUAAGGUGAACAAAGUGAUACAAGGACCCGACAAGUAAUUUGCCCAACUAAUAAGUGCAAAGAUACAUGUUUUGCUUAAUGGUCCAAUAAGUCUUUCCCAGUACUUAAAUGCUAUCUUAAUGAGCUUUAAAUUAAUCUACCAACACCAAGCUACUCUACGGAUAAGAGGCUUAAUUUCCGCAAUACUCAAGGUCACAUUAUCAAGAAAAAUGCACCUCGAUGUCGGCUUAUCAUCACCAAAAUAAGUAGUUAGGUUAUUGGUGGGAGUGCUCAUCCCGUAAAUCGGUACGUGAGCUGGGUUCAAUACGAUGG